This 253-nucleotide ribosomal RNA is filed under the name uncultured bacterium. Its description in RNAcentral is "partial 16S ribosomal RNA". It matches the Rfam family "Bacterial small subunit ribosomal RNA", at positions 524 to 776 of the family's 1533-position model. The record is from RNAcentral.
UACAGAGGGUGCGAGCGUUAAUCGGAAUUACUGGGCGUAAAGCGCACGUAGGCGGCUUGGUAUGUCGGGUGUGAAAUCCCCGGGCUCAACCUGGGAACUGCAUCCGAAACUGCCUUGCUAGAGUAUGGGAGAGGGAAGUGGAAUUUCCGGUGUAGCGGUGAAAUGCGUAGAUAUCGGAAGGAACAUCAGUGGCGCAAGCGGCUGACUGGCCGAGACCUGACGCUGAGACGCGACGGCGUGGGGAGCAAACAGG